RNAcentral lists this ribosomal RNA (267 nucleotides) under uncultured prokaryote. Its description in RNAcentral is "partial 16S ribosomal RNA". It matches the Rfam family "Bacterial small subunit ribosomal RNA", at positions 510 to 776 of the family's 1533-position model. The record is from RNAcentral.
AGCCGCCGCGGUAAUACGGAGGGUGCGAGCGUUGUCCGGAAUCAUUGGGCGUAAAGGGCGCGUAGGUGGCCUGCUAAGCGUGCGGUGAAAGCUCGGGGCUCAACCCCGAGUCGGCCGUGCGAACUGGUGGGCUUGAGCACUGUAGAGGCAGGCGGAAUUCCGGGUGUAGCGGUGGAAUGCGUAGAGAUCCGGAAGAACACCGGUGGCGAAGGCGGCCUGCUGGGCAGUAGCUGACACUGAGGCGCGACAGCGUGGGGAGCAAACAGG